Molecule: unclassified non-coding RNA, 314 nt
Filed under: Hevea brasiliensis (rubber tree)
Lineage: Eukaryota; Viridiplantae; Streptophyta; Magnoliopsida; Malpighiales; Euphorbiaceae
Source: RNAcentral
CUUUACUAAACAAAGAAGAUAAAUGGAAUUCAAGUACCCUACUUGCUCAGGAAAUGCCUUGCAUAAUGCAUUGAUAGUUGCAUUUAGUUCCAAAGGGUCAUCCCUUUUGGAAAUAUCCAGUUGCAUCAUUUCAGAAUUAUCAGACAAUUCUUUGGUAGCAGCGCCACAAUUCACCAUGAUCCGACCAUUGGGCAUCAACAUCUUAUUCAUCUCCAACCAAGUUGUAACCUCUUCCAGUUGUGGUAAAACCUUUCCAUCAGAAAACAAAUCAACUAUUAUACCUGCAUAACCUCCAGGAAUAGUAACAGAUGAAG